This 452-nucleotide long non-coding RNA is filed under the name Castor canadensis (American beaver). Its description in RNAcentral is "lncRNA (ENSCCNG00000008825.1)". Lineage: Eukaryota; Metazoa; Chordata; Mammalia; Rodentia; Castoridae. The record is from RNAcentral.
UGUUGCUAUGGUUAUGAAAAGCAAAAUGUAAAUCUUAAUUUUUCUCUUAUUCAAUUUCAAAGGAAAGAAGAUUCUAUAUGAUAUACUUGCCUUUGCCAAAGAAAGUGUUAAUUCUCAUGUUACUACUCUUGGGCCUCAAAAUUUUCCUGCCAGUGACAAGGAACCAUGGCUUGUUGACUUUUUUGCUCCUUGGUGUCCACCUUGUCGAGCUUUACUGCCAGAGUUACGAAAAGCAUCCACACUUCUUUAUGGUCAGCUUAAAUUUGGUACACUAGACUGUACAGUUCAUGAAGGACUCUGUAACAUGUAUAACAUUCAGGCUUAUCCAACAACAGUGGUAUUCAACCAGUCCAGUAUUCAUGAGUAUGAAGGACAUCACUCUGCAGAACAGAUACUGGAGUUCAUAGAGGUAUUUUAAAUUACAGCCUGAGGCUAGAAAUCCUGGUUAUGUG